UUCCGUACUGCUCCUCUCAGCCGUACGGAUACUUUAGGUACCCACUGUAUACUUUCUAGAUAUCGUAAACUCGACAAGAACAUCCGAUUAUUCAGCGUUGAUCUGCCCUAUCGCAUAUUGAAAUAUCAAAUCAGACUGAACCAUGUCCAUUUAUAUGCCUAGAAAACCUGAUCGGUGUUACUAUAAUAUUUAAUGACAAGAGGAUGAGGCCUAGAUGCUUAAAAAAAAAAGAAAUCGGCAAGAAGACGUCUGCACACGUUCAUCGUGGAUCAUCUGUGAUUGUUAUUGGUAUUAUUUUUUGUAAGUGUAAGUAACCCGUUGGCUGCCACGCCUUUUUCUCCCCAUGUUAGCUCCUUAGCACGGGCGCGCACUGGUCGGUCUCGUGGUUUAUAUGCCAUGGGGUCGGACAUGUUGCACCAGCCCCAGAUUCGCCGUAACGGCGCUGUUAGGCAAUGCACCAUAGGGACACUUUCCCCUUGUUGAUGCGGUGAUGGAUUCUAGAGGUUGUGCAUUCCAUCUUCUCCUGUCACCGUGUCAGCCCGGACUUGUCAGCAAUGGCAAGUCCCACCUUGGUCAUGGAUCCUUCAGACGUGGCACGUAGAGUAGUAGAAGAACAACCUACGGGUUGUAUGGCGUGGCAGCCAACGGAUUAACUUAAGUGUUGUAUGUGUGAUUGUAUGUAUUUUAUGUAUUAAUGACUUAAUGUAUAAUCGAGGAGGAAUUGUGGGUGGAGGUGGGACAACAAAAAUAUAACUUCAUUUUUAACCA
Daphnia pulex (common water flea) is the source of this 768-nucleotide long non-coding RNA. RefSeq lists it as uncharacterized. The transcript is spliced from 3 exons. The record is from RefSeq and is a predicted model, not a curated record. Lineage: Eukaryota; Metazoa; Arthropoda; Branchiopoda; Diplostraca; Daphniidae.